Molecule: non-coding RNA, 69 nt
Filed under: Pelagodinium bei
Lineage: Eukaryota; Dinophyceae; Suessiales; Suessiaceae
Source: RNAcentral
GGACGACAGAGAAACAUGUCUUCCAGGGUCCUGGUGAGGGUGAAACGCUCUCGCAAGAGCGAGCCGCAA